AGAGUUUGAUCCUGGCUCAGGAUGAACGCUGGCGGCGUGCUUAACACAUGCAAGUCGAACGAAGCACUUUAUUUGAUUUCCUUCGGGACUGAUUAUUUUGUGACUGAGUGGCGGACGGGUGAGUAACGCGUGGGUAACCUGCCUUGUACAGGGGGAUAACAGUUGGAAACGGCUGCUAAUACCGCAUAAGCGCACAGCAUCGCAUGAUGCAGUGUGAAAAACUCCGGUGGUAUAAGAUGGACCCGCGUUGGAUUAGCUAGUUGGUGAGGUAACGGCCCACCAAGGCGACGAUCCAUAGCCGACCUGAGAGGGUGACCGGCCACAUUGGGACUGAGACACGGCCCAAACUCCUACGGGAGGCAGCAGUGGGGAAUAUUGCACAAUGGGCGAAAGCCUGAUGCAGCGACGCCGCGUGAGCGAAGAAGUAUUUCGGUAUGUAAAGCUCUAUCAGCAGGGAAGAUAAUGACGGUACCUGACUAAGAAGCACCGGCUAAAUACGUGCCAGCAGCCGCGGUAAUACGUAUGGUGCAAGCGUUAUCCGGAUUUACUGGGUGUAAAGGGAGCGCAGGCGGUGCGGCAAGUCUGAUGUGAAAGCCCGGGGCUCAACCCCGGUACUGCAUUGGAAACUGUCGUACUAGAGUGUCGGAGGGGUAAGCGGAAUUCCUAGUGUAGCGGUGAAAUGCGUAGAUAUUAGGAGGAACACCAGUGGCGAAGGCGGCUUACUGGACGAUAACUGACGCUGAGGCUCGAAAGCGUGGGGAGCAAACAGGAUUAGAUACCCUGGUAGUCCACGCCGUAAACGA
Molecule: ribosomal RNA, 803 nt
Filed under: uncultured bacterium
Lineage: Bacteria
Description: bacterial SSU rRNA
Rfam family: Bacterial small subunit ribosomal RNA
Source: RNAcentral